RNAcentral lists this ribosomal RNA (253 nucleotides) under uncultured bacterium. Its description in RNAcentral is "partial 16S ribosomal RNA". It matches the Rfam family "Bacterial small subunit ribosomal RNA", at positions 524 to 776 of the family's 1533-position model. The record is from RNAcentral.
UACGGAGGGUGCAAGCGUUAUCCGGAUUCACUGGGGUUAAAGGGUGCGUAGGUGGGUUGGUAAGUCAGUGGUGAAAUCUCCGAGCUUAACUUGGAAACUGCCAUUGAUACUAUCAGUCUUGAAUACCGUGGAGGUCAGCGGAAUAUGUCAUGUAGCGGUGAAAUGCUUAGAUAUGACAUAGAACACCAAUUGCGAAGGCAGCUGACUCCGCGAAUAUUGACACUGAUGCACGAAAGCGUGGGGAUCAAACAGG